GACGAACGCUGGCGGCGUGCCUAAUACAUGCAAGUAGAACGCUGAAGAGAGGAGCUUGCUCUUCUUGGAUGAGUUGCGAACGGGUGAGUAACGCGUAGGUAACCUGCCUUGUAGCGGGGGAUAACUAUUGGAAACGAUAGCUAAUACCGCAUAACAAUGGAUGACCCAUGUCAUUUAUUUGAAAGGGGCAAAUGCUCCACUACAAGAUGGACCUGCGUUGUAUUAGCUAGUAGGUGAGGUAACGGCUCACCUAGGCGACGAUACAUAGCCGACCUGAGAGGGUGAUCGGCCACACUGGGACUGAGACACGGCCCAGACUCCUACGGGAGGCAGCAGUAGGGAAUCUUCGGCAAUGGGGGCAACCCUGACCGAGCAACGCCGCGUGAGUGAAGAAGGUUUUCGGAUCGUAAAGCUCUGUUGUAAGUCAAGAACGAGUGUGAGAGUGGAAAGUUCACACUGUGACGGUAGCUUACCAGAAAGGGACGGCUAACUACGUGCCAGCAGCCGCGGUAAUACGUAGGUCCCGAGCGUUGUCCGGAUUUAUUGGGCGUAAAGCGAGCGCAGGCGGUUUGAUAAGUCUGAAGUUAAAGGCUGUGGCUCAACCAUAGUUCGCUUUGGAAACUGUCAAACUUGAGUGCAGAAGGGGAGAGUGGAAUUCCAUGUGUAGCGGUGAAAUGCGUAGAUAUAUGGAGGAACACCGGUGGCGAAAGCGGCUCUCUGGUCUGUAACUGACGCUGAGGCUCGAAAGCGUGGGGAGCGAACAGGAUUAGACACCCUGGUAGUCCACGCCGUAAACGAUGAGUGCUAGGUGUUGGAUCCUUUCCGGGAUUCAGUGCCGCAGCUAACGCAUUAAGCACUCCGCCUGGGGAGUACGACCGCAAGGUUGAAACUCAAAGGAAUUGACGGGGGCCCGCACAAGCGGUGGAGCAUGUGGUUUAAUUCGAAGCAACGCGAAGAACCUUACCAGGUCUUGACAUCCCGAUGCUAUUUCUAGAGAUAGAAAGUUACUUCGGUACAUCGGUGACAGGUGGUGCAUGGUUGUCGUCAGCUCGUGUCGUGAGAUGUUGGGUUAAGUCCCGCAACGAGCGCAACCCCUAUUGUUAGUUGCCAUCAUUCAGUUGGGCACUCUAGCGAGACUGCCGGUAAUAAACCGGAGGAAGGUGGGGAUGACGUCAAAUCAUCAUGCCCCUUAUGACCUGGGCUACACACGUGCUACAAUGGUUGGUACAACGAGUUGCGAGUCGGUGACGGCAAGCUAAUCUCUUAAAGCCAAUCUCAGUUCGGAUUGUAGGCUGCAACUCGCCUACAUGAAGUCGGAAUCGCUAGUAAUCGCGGAUCAGCACGCCGCGGUGAAUACGUUCCCGGGCCU
RNAcentral lists this ribosomal RNA (1369 nucleotides) under uncultured bacterium. Its description in RNAcentral is "bacterial SSU rRNA". It matches the Rfam family "Bacterial small subunit ribosomal RNA", at positions 28 to 1381 of the family's 1533-position model. The record is from RNAcentral.